Argentina anserina (silverweed cinquefoil) is the source of this 458-nucleotide long non-coding RNA. RefSeq lists it as uncharacterized. The record is from RefSeq and is a predicted model, not a curated record. Lineage: Eukaryota; Viridiplantae; Streptophyta; Magnoliopsida; Rosales; Rosaceae. The transcript is spliced from 2 exons.
AUUGUCUUCAUGGUGCACCAAUCGAUCACCAGUCCAUUGUUAUAAUAUCCUUUUUUGCCUCCUAGACUCCUAGUUAACAAUGGACUGGUGGUCGACUGGUGAGAAGUAGGUUCCUGCAGUCAGGGCUUCCAUGGUUCAUCCAUGUUAGGUUUGGUACAGAAUGAACCAGGUGGGACAUUUCUUGCCUGUGAAGUCACUAUCCCUUCAUUUUGAACUUAAGAAUACAGGUUUGAUUGAUUAAGAUGGUCACUUUUGGAUUAGUUAUAGUAGUAGUGGAGCCCAGUAUUAGGCUCAACAUACUUAUUCAGUCUCUUGAUCUGUUUGUUUGUUUGUUUGUUAUGGCCCAUUCUGUUUUGGAAAUUAAGGCAACCUCCAAACUAAUAGAAGGUAUAUUAUUGGACUACUGCUACUUGUUUGUUACUGGAAAUGAUGGAUUCUCAACAUUUUUUUACCAUGAA